GUGUCAGCAGCCGCGGUAAUACGAAGGGAGCUAGCGUUGUUCGGAAUCACUGGGCGUAAAGCGCACGUAGGCGGAUGUGUCAGUCAGGGGUGAAAUCCCGGAGCUCAACUUCGGAACUGCCUUUGAUACAGCACGUCUUGAGUCCGAUAGAGGUGGGUGGAAUUCCUAGUGUAGAGGUGAAAUUCGUAGAUAUUAGGAAGAACACCGGUGGCGAAGGCGGCCCACUGGAUCGGUACUGACGCUGAGGUGCGAAAGCGUGGGGAGCAAACAGGAUUAGAAACCCCCGUAGUCC
RNAcentral lists this ribosomal RNA (292 nucleotides) under uncultured bacterium. RNAcentral describes it as "partial 16S ribosomal RNA". It matches the Rfam family "Bacterial small subunit ribosomal RNA", at positions 505 to 796 of the family's 1533-position model. The record is from RNAcentral.